Molecule: ribosomal RNA, 253 nt
Filed under: uncultured bacterium
Lineage: Bacteria
Description: partial 16S ribosomal RNA
Rfam family: Bacterial small subunit ribosomal RNA
Source: RNAcentral
UACGUAGGGUGCAAGCGUUAAUCGGAAUUACUGGGCGUAAAGGGCGCGUAGGCGGCCACCUCAGUCGGACGUGAAAUCCCCGGGCUCAACCCGGGAACUGCGUCCGAUACUGGGUGGCUAGAGUCCGGGAGAGGGGAGUGGAAUUCCAGGUGUAGCGGUGAAAUGCGUAGAUAUCUGGAGGAACACCGGUGGCGAAGGCGGCUUCCUGGACCGGAACUGACGCUGAGGCGCGAAAGCCAGGGGAGCAAACGGG